This is a long non-coding RNA of Acanthopagrus latus (yellowfin seabream), 725 nucleotides long. RefSeq lists it as uncharacterized. Lineage: Eukaryota; Metazoa; Chordata; Actinopteri; Spariformes; Sparidae. The transcript has 3 exons. The record is from RefSeq and is a predicted model, not a curated record.
UGUCAGGAUUGGUACAAAGUAUAGCACCACUGUGUACCAGGCUCUGUCCAACCCUUGUUCCCAGCUGUUAGACGAGAAAUGCACUGCCUUCCCACACCAGUACCAGAGCCUCUAUUCUCACAGACACAGAAAUCCACAAGAUGUCAAAUUGCCACGGAGUUCAGCUUCAUUCCUGAACCAGGGCACAGGAGAUCUUAACACUGGGUUCAAAGUCAUGAGACAUACUGCAGAUCUUUAGUGUACAUGCUAUGUGACAGGCAAUAAUGACCGCAAUAUAAGCAGAUCAGUCAACCAUCCAGAAACACUUUCUCAUGACAAGAAUAUUGGACGAAGAGUAGCCCACUUGCCACACUUUUGGCACAGGACUAUUUUAUGUACUGAAGGUUAGUGAGGGAGUAAGCGCACGCUCGACGGAUUGACUAGUUUGGUUUAGCUACCGGAAGACACGGAUGUCAACAAACCGAGAGGAAGCCGUGGCUGAGGAAUCCAGAGAGUAGCUGAGCGGAGCGGGGCUCCAGGGCAGGAGAGCAGGGUAGAUGGCACCGAAGGCUUGACAGAGGGGCAAGAGCAGAGCCAACAAAACUACUGGGAGAGGAGAACAGGAUUAGGCAUGCAGACUAACUGAGCAGGUACUAUGAUCUGGCAAGGUGGACGAGGCAGAGCUGAGUUCUUGUAGUCCCGAUUACAGGAUCAGAUGCAGCUGGUGGGGCUCUGCUCCAACACAC